RNAcentral lists this transfer RNA (86 nucleotides) under Ureaplasma urealyticum serovar 13 str. ATCC 33698. RNAcentral's name for it is "tRNA-Leu". It matches the Rfam family "tRNA". Rfam says of the family: Transfer RNA (tRNA) molecules are approximately 80 nucleotides in length. Their secondary structure includes four short double-helical elements and three loops (D, anti-codon, and T loops). Further hydrogen bonds mediate the characteristic L-shaped molecular structure. tRNAs have two regions of fundamental functional importance: the anti-codon, which is responsible for specific mRNA codon recognition, and the 3' end, to which the tRNAs corresponding amino acid is attached (by aminoacyl-tRNA synthetases). tRNAs cope with the degeneracy of the genetic code in two manners: having more than one tRNA (with a specific anti-codon) for a particular amino acid; and 'wobble' base-pairing, i.e. permitting non-standard base-pairing at the 3rd anti-codon position. The record is from RNAcentral. Lineage: Bacteria; Bacillati; Mycoplasmatota; Mycoplasmoidales; Mycoplasmoidaceae. RNAcentral also lists the same sequence under 9 other names.
UGCGCUUGUGGCGGAAUGGCAGACGCGCUAGACUUAGGAUCUAGUACUUUAUGGUGUAAGAGUUCAAGUCUCUUCAAGCGCACCAU